UCAGGCCUAACACAUGCAAGUCGAGUGCGCGCCUGUAGCAAUACGGGUGGCGCACGGCGCACGGGUGCGUAACACGUGGGUAACCUGCCCUUUGGUGGGGAAUAACUUCGCGGAAGCGAAGCUAAUUCCGCAUAAGAUCCGCAAGGAUGAAAGCCGAAAGGCGCCGAAGGAGGGGCCCGCGCACGAUUAGCUAGUUGGUAGGGUAACGGCCUACCAAGGCUAUGAUCGUUAGCUGGUCUGAGAGGAUGGCCAGCCACACUGGAACUGAGACACGGUCCAGACUCCUACGGGAGGCAGCAGUGGGGAAUCUUGCACAAUGGGCGAAAGCCUGAUGCAGCGACGCCGCGUGGGGGAUGAAGCUUCUCGGAGUGUAAACCCCUUUCGACCCGGACGAAUGCCCCGCAAGGGGACUGACGGUACGGGUAUAAGAAGCCCCGGCUAACUACGUGCCAGCAGCCGCGGUAAUACGUAGGGGGCCAGCGUUGCUCGGAAUUACUGGGUGUAAAGGGUUCGUAGGCGGUGCGGCAAGUUGGAAGUGAAAUCUCUGGGCUCAACCCAAAGGCUGCUUUCAAAACUGCUGUGCUUGAGUGUGGGAGAGGCGCGUGGAAUUGCAGGUGUAGCGGUGAAAUGCGUAGAUAUCUGCAGGAACACCCGUGGCGAAAGCGGCGCGCUGGACCACAACUGACGCUGAGGAACGAAA
RNAcentral lists this ribosomal RNA (700 nucleotides) under uncultured bacterium. Its description in RNAcentral is "bacterial SSU rRNA". It matches the Rfam family "Bacterial small subunit ribosomal RNA", at positions 42 to 758 of the family's 1533-position model. The record is from RNAcentral.